AAUCCAUGCAUUGGAAACUUUCAAAUUAACUCCUUAAAUUGUUCCCAAGCAUCAUAUAACGUUUCAUCCUCCAAUUACAAAAAAGAUAUGAUGUCAUUUCUAAGCUU
Molecule: non-coding RNA, 107 nt
Organism: Gossypium hirsutum (cotton)
Lineage: Eukaryota; Viridiplantae; Streptophyta; Magnoliopsida; Malvales; Malvaceae
Source: Rfam